RNAcentral lists this ribosomal RNA (157 nucleotides) under Vishniacozyma carnescens. Its description in RNAcentral is "5.8S ribosomal RNA". It matches the Rfam family "5.8S ribosomal RNA". Rfam says of the family: 5.8S ribosomal RNA (5.8S rRNA) is a component of the large subunit of the eukaryotic ribosome. It is transcribed by RNA polymerase I as part of the 45S precursor that also contains 18S and 28S rRNA. Functionally, it is thought that 5.8S rRNA may be involved in ribosome translocation. RNAcentral also lists the same sequence under 1 other name. Lineage: Eukaryota; Fungi; Basidiomycota; Tremellomycetes; Tremellales; Bulleribasidiaceae. The record is from RNAcentral.
AACUUUUAACAACGGAUCUCUUGGCUCUCGCAUCGAUGAAGAACGCAGCGAAAUGCGAUAAGUAAUGUGAAUUGCAGAAUUCAGUGAAUCAUCGAAUCUUUGAACGCACCUUGCGCCCUUUGGUAUUCCGAAGGGCAUGCCUGUUUGAGUGUCAUGA